This 711-nucleotide ribosomal RNA is filed under the name Bacillus sp. SC6s6. RNAcentral describes it as "bacterial SSU rRNA". It matches the Rfam family "Bacterial small subunit ribosomal RNA", at positions 61 to 755 of the family's 1533-position model. The record is from RNAcentral. Lineage: Bacteria; Bacillati; Bacillota; Bacilli; Caryophanales; Bacillaceae.
GUCGAGCGAAUCGAUGGGAGCUUGCUCCCUGAGAUUAGCGGCGGACGGGUGAGUAACACGUGGGCAACCUGCCUAUAAGACUGGGAUAACUUCGGGAAACCGGAGCUAAUACCGGAUACGUUCUUUUCUCGCAUGAGAGAAGAUGGAAAGACGGUUUACGCUGUCACUUAUAGAUGGGCCCGCGGCGCAUUAGCUAGUUGGUGAGGUAAUGGCUCACCAAGGCGACGAUGCGUAGCCGACCUGAGAGGGUGAUCGGCCACACUGGGACUGAGACACGGCCCAGACUCCUACGGGAGGCAGCAGUAGGGAAUCUUCCGCAAUGGACGAAAGUCUGACGGAGCAACGCCGCGUGAACGAAGAAGGCCUUCGGGUCGUAAAGUUCUGUUGUUAGGGAAGAACAAGUACCAGAGUAACUGCUGGUACCUUGACGGUACCUAACCAGAAAGCCACGGCUAACUACGUGCCAGCAGCCGCGGUAAUACGUAGGUGGCAAGCGUUGUCCGGAAUUAUUGGGCGUAAAGCGCGCGCAGGUGGUUCCUUAAGUCUGAUGUGAAAGCCCACGGCUCAACCGUGGAGGGUCAUUGGAAACUGGGGAACUUGAGUGCAGAAGAGGAAAGUGGAAUUCCAAGUGUAGCGGUGAAAUGCGUAGAGAUUUGGAGGAACACCAGUGGCGAAGGCGACUUUCUGGUCUGUAACUGACACUGAGGCGCG